RNAcentral lists this ribosomal RNA (360 nucleotides) under Panjange kapit. Its description in RNAcentral is "partial 16S ribosomal RNA". The record is from RNAcentral. Lineage: Eukaryota; Metazoa; Arthropoda; Arachnida; Araneae; Pholcidae.
UUCUUUAAGAUAUAAUUUAAAGUAAAACCUGCUCAAUGAAAUUUAAAUAGCCGCAGAUUAACUGUGCUAAGGUAGCAUAAUAAUUUGCUUUCUAAUUAAAAGAUAGAAUGAAUGGUUAAACACAUAAAAUACGUAUCUAUAAAUAAAACAAAACUAAAUUUAAGGUAAAAACUCCUCAUAAAAAAAGUGGGACGACAAGACCCUGAUAAACUUAAUAUAUUUGGUUGGGGAAACACAAUAAAAAAACUUUAUUAAUACACAAUACAAAACUUUAAACAAACAAAAGACAAGUUACUACAGGGAUAACAGCGCUAUCUCUUUCAAAAGCCCUAAUACAAAAAGAAGUUUACGACCUCGAUG